GCGGUAAAAAAGGGACGAAAAAAUAAAAAACAAAUCUGUCUGAUUCCAAAAUAAAGAAAUUAUAUGUGACGCGGAAAAAAAUCGAAUCCUAUCAUAUUAUAUGUGACACGAUACUAUAUAUCUCUAUCUUCUCUAUCUCUAUAUCUACUUACUUACAAAAUUGAAAGCGUUUCCUCUACUUACUUACAAAAUUGAAAGCGUUUCCUCUACUUACAAAAUUGAAAGCGUUUCCGUUGUCCGUAACAAGUAAUAACGAAAAAAAGGCGAAAAAACAUUAAAACAAAAAAAAUAAUCCGAUUCAAUUUACUUCCGUCGUCCUUGAAAAUUUUAUCUUAUCUUAAUCUUAAUCUAAAUCUUUCCGAGGGGACCGAGCGGCGCCUUCCGUCCCCACCCGCACGAUGAAACGCUUGCCAAAGCAAAAAAAGGAAAAACCAAAAUUGAGCAAAGGGAUAAACUAGAUUGAAGUUCCUAAAAUUAAAAGAGGAUAAACAAUAUUAAAACUCCCCUAACUCGAAAAGAGGGAAUAAAAUAGAUUGAAAUUUCCCGACAAAAUUCCCAAAAUUCGAAGAACCCUAAUUUCAGGUUAGAACCCUAAGAGUUAAAAUCCAAAUCAAUUAACCUAAAGGUUUGGGUUACUUAACGGACUUAAAGCCCCUAAGUUCACCGGAGCUUUCUGGGAAGCGGCACCGCCGCACCUUCACCUCCUCGCAGUCGCCUUGGGUUCCCCGUGCGCGCGCUGACCUGGAGCACCCCUCCACUGUCCUUGGCGUCGGCCCUCCCGCCGACGAGGUCUAGGCCGAGCUUUGAAAGGAGACACCACGUUCGCUGUGGGGCUAGAAAUUCCCACAUUAAUUGGAGAAAAGAAAAGGAGAGUCCAAGUAGAAAUACAAUUCAAAAAUAGCUGAAUUCGGGAUUAAAAAAAGCAAUAUGGAAAGAAGAGUCCAUAUAAUAACCCAAUAUGAGAUUAAUCAAAAUUAAUAAUAAAAAUAAAAUAAAAUUGGAAAUUUGAAAAUAAAAGGAGAGUCCAAAUAGGAAUACAAUUUAAAAAUAACUGAAAUUAGUAAUUAAAAAUAAGGAAUAUUGAGAGGAGAGUCCAUAUAAGAACCCAAUACGAUAUUAGUUAAUAUUUGGAAUAAAAUAAAUAUUAAAUCCAAAAUUAGCAAAAAAAGAAAAUAAGAGUUCAAGUAGGAUUACAAUUUAAAAUUAACUGAAAUUCAGAAUUAAAAAUAAGCAAUAUUGAAACAAGAAUCCAUAUAAAAACCCAAUACGAGAUUAAUUAAAAUUCAGAAUAAAAAAAUAAAAUAAUAUCCAAAAUUAGAAAAACUAAAAGAGAGUUCAAGUAGGAAUACAAUUUUGAAACAACUUAAAUUCAAAAAAAUAAAAAAUAAAAAUAUUAAAAGAACACUAUAUGGUAUUAAUUAAAAUUUGGAAAAAAUAAAUUCUGAAAUUAGAAAAAGAAAUAAAUCAAUUAGGAAUACAAUUUAUAAAUAACAAAAAUUGAUGAUAAAAAAUAAAGACUAUUGAAAAAAGACCAUCUAAAACACACGACGAGAUAAAUUAAUUAACAGGCCUAUAAAAGAGUAAAGUGUGGCGGUUAAUACGACAUAUAAAAUUUUUAGUAAAACACCAAACAGAAUCCUAAUGAUGAUUAAAAGGAGGGACGACAGGCAGGCCGUGAAGCAAACGGGUAAGGCGGUUGCCGGGACUUUUAGAAUGUAAAAGAAAAAAACCCCAUUGAUAAUCCUAUUCGAUUUUUAAAAUCUCAAUGACAAUAAAAAGGAGAAGUAGCGUGCGGGGUGUAUAGGAGGAGUACAGUUGCAUAGCCGCCGACGGUUGGCGAGACUUCUAGAAAAUAAAAAAAUGAAUUCCAACAAUAGUUAUAUUCAAUUUUUAAACACGAACCGCCGCAGGAGGCUCAUCAUCGAAACUCUUCAAGGUUUAUCGUUUAUUUCGGCGACAAUCUCUCCUACUUAUCUAUCUAUCUAUAUAUCUAUUAUAUUAUUAAAACAACCUUGAAAGGAGGCACCACGUUCGCUGCGGGGGUUAGAAAUUCCCACAUUAAUCUAAGAAAAAGAAAAGGAGAGUCCAAGUAGAAAUAUAAUUUAAAAAUAGCUGAAAUUCGGAAUUAAAAAUAAGCACUAUUGAAAGAAGAGUCCAUAUAAGAACCCAAUACGAGAUUAAUUAAAAUUCAGAAUAAAAAUAAAAUAAAAUGUGAAAAUAGCAAAGAAAAGGAAAAGAAGAGUUCGAGUAGAAAUAUAAUUUUAAAAUAACUAAAAUUCGGAAUUAAAAUUAAACAAUAUUGAAAGAAGAGUCCAUAUAAAAACCCAAUACGAGAUUAUUAAAAUUCGGAAUAAAAAAUAAAAAAAAUUGAAAUUUGAAAAAAAGAAAAGGAAUGAAGAGUUCAGGUAGGAAUACAAUUUAAAAUCAACUAAAAGUCGGAAUUAAAUAUAAGCAAUAUUGAAAUAAGAGUACAUAUAAGAACCCAAUAGUAGAUUAAUUAAAAUUCGGAAUAAAAAAUAAAAUAAAUUCUGAAAUUGGACAAAUUAAAAAGAGAGUUCAAGUAGUAAUACAAUUUUAAAACAACUGAUAUUGAAAAUAAAAAAUGAAAAUAUUAAAAGAACACAAUACAAUAUUAUUUGAAAUUCAAAAAAAAUCUGAAAUUAGAACAAGAAAAAUAAGAUUUCAACUUGGAAUACAAUUUAUAAAUAACUAAAAUUAGUGAUAAAAAUAAAAACUAUUAAAAGAAAAGACCAUCUCAAACACAUUACGAGAUUAAUUAAGUUACGGACCUAUAAAGGAGAAAAGUGGUGGCAGUUGAUGGGACAUGUAAAAGCUAUUAAUAAAACAUCAAAUAGAAUCCUAAUGAUGAUUAAAAGGAAGGACGAUGGGCAAGUCGUGAAGCAAUCAGUUAAGGCGUUUGGCAGGACUUCUAGAAAGUAAAAAAGAUAAACCCCAAUGAUAAUUAUAUUUGAUUUUUAAAAUUUCAAUGACAAUAAAAAUGAGAGGCAACAGGUGGGUCGUACAAGAGUACAAUGGCAAAGCCACCGAUGGUUGGUGAGAUUUCUAGAAAGUAAAAAAAAUAAAUUCCAAUUAUAGUUAUCUUCGAUUUUUAUAAUCCUAAUGACAAUAAAAAUUAGGUGGCGGACAGGUUGUAAGGGAGAAUAGUGGCAGGGUUUGACGGGAUUUCUAAAAAUUAUAAAAAAAUAAAACCCAAUGAGACAAUAAACUCAAAAAAUAUAAGGUCCAAUUUUUAAAGGUUCGGGCUUCUAAAAAGUAAAAUAAAUAAACCCCAAUGAUAAUUAUGUUUGAUCUUAAAAUCUCAAUGACAAUAAAGAAAGGCGGUAGCUGGCAAGCCGUAGAGGAGUACUGCAACAACGUCGCCGACGUUUUGCUGGAACUUAUAGAAAGUAAAAAUAAAUGAAUCAAAACGAUAAUUAUGUUCGAUUUUUAAAAUAACAAUGACAAUAAAAAGAAGAUGCAGUGGAUGGCCGUAGAGGAGUAUAAUGGCGGCAGCGUUUUACGGGACUUCUAGAAAUUAUAAAAAUAAAACCCAACAGGACAAUAAACUCUAAAAACUAUAAGAUCCAAUUUUUAAAGGUUCCAAAGAGAUUGAAUAGAAACAGUGGUAGACCGAGCAAGCAAAUAAAGAAGGAUAUGACAGAAGUAAGGGGUAGCAACUGAUGUGGCUUUUAAAAACUAUAAAAUUAGAAACACGAUGAUGAUAAGGUUUGGUCUUUCAAAGUCUUAAGACAACGAGAUAACUAUUUAAUAAACUUUGAGUAAAGGUAUUAAAAAUAUAAAUUUUAUAUGGGUGCUAGCCGCGCAAUUGCGCGGGCCACUCAGCUAGUUAUAUUAUUAAAACAGCUUUGAAAGGAGUCACCACGUUCGCUGUGGGGGCUAGAAAUUCCCACGUUAAUCAGAGAAAAAAGAAAAAUCUAGACUGUUAGAUUAUACUGGGACUAGACUUUGAUGGUGUAGAUUAACUUUGAUAAUAGAAGUCUGAAUAGAAAACAACUGCUAGAUCAAACGGACAACACUGAUCAAGUUCUAGAAUACAAGUCCAAAUAGGUGGACGUACUCCUACUUUGAUUCUUUCCUUAUCCUAGAUGGAUACUAAGGAUCAAUCAACAGAUCAGGUGAUUAGGAUUCAAACACAGUGCGUGCAUAUAUAUUUUGGAGCCGGUAUAAUUAGAAUUAAAAUGUGAUAUUUUUUUUUACCUAUGGAUGAAAAAAAGAGUAAAUAGACCAGAAAACUUAUGCAUCGGUAGAGAUACAUCUCUCCGUCCAACUCGCUAAGGCGUGUUCAAAUUUAGUACGGUCUUAAAAACUAAACUUUAACUUUAAAUUUUUCAUUGUAGCAACAAAAUCAUAAUCAUAUAAAAUUAAAUUUAAAUGAAUAUCCAAUGAUAUUAUUUUUAACAACUAAAAUUUAAUUUAUAAUAAAAUACAGCUUUGAAAGAAGGCACCACGUUCGCUGUGGGGGCUAGAAAUUCCCACAUUAAUCGGAGAAAAAAAAAGAAAAGGAGAGUCCAAGUAGAAAUACAAUCUAAAAAUAGCUGAAAUUCGAAAUUAAAAAUAAGCAAUAUUGAAAGAAGUUUCCAUAUAAGAACCCAAUACGAGAUUAAUCAAAAUUCGAAAUAAAAAUAAAAUAAAAUCCAAAAUUAGAAAGAAAAAAAGAGACCCAAGUAGAAAUACAAUUUUAAAAUAGCUGAAAUUCGGAAUUAAAAAUAAGCAAUAUUGAAAGAAGUUUCCAUAUAAGAACCUAAUACUAGAUUAAUCAAAAUUUAAAAUAAAAAUAAAAUAAAAUAAAAAUUAGAAAAGAAAAGGAUAGUCCAAUUAGGAAUACAAUUAUAAAAUAGCUGAAAAUCGGAAUUAAAAUAAGGAAUAUUAAAAAAAGAGUCCAUAUAAGAACCCAAUUACGAGAUUAAUUAAAAUUGGG
This 4939-nucleotide small RNA is filed under the name Oryza sativa Japonica Group (Japanese rice). Its description in RNAcentral is "sRNA Os01g0137800". The record is from RNAcentral. Lineage: Eukaryota; Viridiplantae; Streptophyta; Magnoliopsida; Poales; Poaceae.